Molecule: microRNA, 20 nt
Filed under: Macaca mulatta (Rhesus monkey)
Lineage: Eukaryota; Metazoa; Chordata; Mammalia; Primates; Cercopithecidae
Description: mml-miR-550-3p (MIR550)
Source: RNAcentral
CCUACUCCCUCAGGCACAUC